AUGAGCUGGGCUACACCCACCCACAAAAAGUUUGUGCACUUUCCUGAAUUCCUCCCUCUCAAUUCCCUCCAUUCAUUACAGGGAGCCAAAAUGAUCCCAUGGCUGAAUUGGGUGUCCUUGUUAGUGCUCCUUCAAGGAGUCCAGUCUCAAGUCCAGUUGGUGGAGUCUGGAGGGGAUGUGAGAAGACCUGGAGAGUCCCUCCGUCGCUCCUGCCAAGUCUCUGGAUUCACCUUCAGCAGCUAUCCCAUUGGCUGGUUGAGACAGUAUCCAGGGAAAGGACUUGAAUGGGUGGCAUCAAUAGCUACAGGCUCAUCUCCUAAGAUUUACUACCUAGACAAAGUCAAGGGACGCUUCACCAUCUCCAGGGAUGAUUCUCACAGCCAGCUGUAUCUGCAAAUGAACAGCCUCAAACUAGAGGAUUCUGCAGUUUAUUUCUGUGCGAGAGACACAAGUGGCGUGUUAUGUGAAAAUCACCCAUAUAAACUGUGA
Molecule: non-coding RNA, 489 nt
Organism: Thamnophis sirtalis
Lineage: Eukaryota; Metazoa; Chordata; Lepidosauria; Squamata; Natricidae
Source: the annotation of a RefSeq genome assembly